CUUAACUGUCACAUUUUAACUUAACUAUUUACAGGUCUUCUCUUCAAAUAGUCACACUCUGAGGUUUAGGCUUUAACGUGAAUUUGGCAGGGGCUGUAGGGGUAUACAAUUCAGUCUGUAACAAUGGAUACAUUUUCUUAGAGCUUUUUAUUCUUACAGAUUUCAGAGAAUGAGUUGAGAAUGAAAAUGACCAUAAAUAUUCAGACUCAAAGUAACUGUAGUUUAUUGAAGAAUAACACAUUAAUCAUGAACCCGCUGUGCAAAAUAAAAUUAAAACAGAAUAUCAUCUUGAGAUGUAAGCAAAGUUAUGUGACAUUUAAUGGAUCAAGAAUAAUCAAGGAAUUGUACAUUUACAGAGGAAGGAAGAUGGUCAAGUCACCCAGCUCCAAAGGUGCGGGGAGGGGCCGGCACUUUGCGUUGGGGAGAAGCGAAAGGUCUAUGUGAAGGGUAAGUGCCAAAUCUGCUAAGCCACAGAGAGAACAGGUGUGCUGCUGGCAAAGAUGUGCAUAAAAUGAUCUCCAGAAAAUUCUGAAACUAUUUAGUUGAUUACUAAUUUAUCAGAUUAAAAAAUGCUUCU
RNAcentral lists this long non-coding RNA (577 nucleotides) under Suricata suricatta (meerkat). Its description in RNAcentral is "lncRNA (ENSSSUG00005003402.1)". Lineage: Eukaryota; Metazoa; Chordata; Mammalia; Carnivora; Herpestidae. The record is from RNAcentral.